AUUGAACGCUGGCGGCAUGCCUUACACAUGCAAGUCGAACGGUAACAGGUCUUCGGAUGCUGACGAGUGGCGAACGGGUGAGUAAUACAUCGGAACGUGCCCAGACGUGGGGGAUAACGAGGCGAAAGCUUUGCUAAUACCGCAUACGAUCUAAGGAUGAAAGCAGGGGACCGCAAGGCCUUGUGCGUUUGGAGCGGCCGAUGGCAGAUUAGGUAGUUGGUGGGAUAAAAGCUUACCAAGCCGACGAUCUGUAGCUGGUCUGAGAGGACGACCAGCCACACGGGGACUGAGACACGCCCAAGACUCCUAGGGGAGGAGGCAGGGGGGAUUGUGGGACAAGGGGGAAAAUCCUGACCCACAAAUCCGGGGUGAGGAAUGAGGGCCUUGGGUUUGUAACUUGUUUUUGUAGGAAAGAAAAGGCUUCGGCCAAAUACCGGGGGAACAGGAGGUAACCGAAAGAAAAACCCCCGGCUAACUACGGC
RNAcentral lists this ribosomal RNA (482 nucleotides) under uncultured bacterium. Its description in RNAcentral is "partial 16S ribosomal RNA". It matches the Rfam family "Bacterial small subunit ribosomal RNA", at positions 29 to 508 of the family's 1533-position model. The record is from RNAcentral.